CCUACGGGAGGCAGCAGUGAGGAAUAUUGGUCAAUGGGCGUAAGCCUGAACCAGCCAAGUCGCGUGAGGGAUGAAGGUUCUAUGGAUCGUAAACCUCUUUUAUAAGGGAAUAAAGUGUGGGACGUGUCCUAUUUUGUAUGUACCUUAUGAAUAAGGAUCGGCUAACUCCGUGCCAGCAGCCGCGGUAAUAUGGAGGGUCCGAGCGUUAUCCGGAUUUAUUGGGUUUAAAGGGUGCGUAGGCGGCCUUUUAAGUCAGCGGUGAAAGUCUGUGGCUCAACCAUAGAAUUGCCGUUGAAACUGGGGGGCUUGAGUGUGUGUGAGGCAGGCGGAAUGCGUGGUGUAGCGGUGAAAUGCGUAGAUAUCACGCAGAACCCCGAUUGCGAAGGCAGCCUGCCAAGCCAUGACUGACGCUGAUGCACGAAAGCGUGGGGAUCAAACAGGAUUAGAUACCCUGGUAGUC
Molecule: ribosomal RNA, 460 nt
Filed under: uncultured bacterium
Lineage: Bacteria
Description: partial 16S ribosomal RNA
Rfam family: Bacterial small subunit ribosomal RNA
Source: RNAcentral